RNAcentral lists this transfer RNA (72 nucleotides) under Loxodonta africana (African savanna elephant). It matches the Rfam family "tRNA". From Rfam's summary of the family: Transfer RNA (tRNA) molecules are approximately 80 nucleotides in length. Their secondary structure includes four short double-helical elements and three loops (D, anti-codon, and T loops). Further hydrogen bonds mediate the characteristic L-shaped molecular structure. tRNAs have two regions of fundamental functional importance: the anti-codon, which is responsible for specific mRNA codon recognition, and the 3' end, to which the tRNAs corresponding amino acid is attached (by aminoacyl-tRNA synthetases). tRNAs cope with the degeneracy of the genetic code in two manners: having more than one tRNA (with a specific anti-codon) for a particular amino acid; and 'wobble' base-pairing, i.e. permitting non-standard base-pairing at the 3rd anti-codon position. The record is from Rfam by way of RNAcentral. Lineage: Eukaryota; Metazoa; Chordata; Mammalia; Proboscidea; Elephantidae.
GCCAUGGUAGCGCAAUGGUUAAGACAUCAGCUGCUAACUGAAAGGCUGGUGGUUUGAAUCCACCCAAUAGCU